CCGCAAUAGGGAUCGACGUGGAAAUCCCGGAACGGAGGCGCUCGCUUCGCUCGCGCCGAAAUGAGGAAUUGUAACAGAGAGCCCGACCCAAG
Molecule: unclassified non-coding RNA, 92 nt
Filed under: Kaistella jeonii
Lineage: Bacteria; Pseudomonadati; Bacteroidota; Flavobacteriia; Flavobacteriales; Weeksellaceae
Description: Chryseobacterium jeonii Flavo-1 RNA
Source: RNAcentral